This 550-nucleotide unclassified non-coding RNA is filed under the name Hevea brasiliensis (rubber tree). Lineage: Eukaryota; Viridiplantae; Streptophyta; Magnoliopsida; Malpighiales; Euphorbiaceae. The record is from RNAcentral.
AAAAGGUUGAAGUAAGUAGUUGCCUAAGAAUAAAGUAGUAGUUGGCCAAACUUAAUUUUGCUGAUUGAAACUUUGUGUACAACAAGAUCCUUUCAGUUUGAAUGGGUAUACCUAAGGAUGAUAUGUCACAAUCCAAUCAAAAAGAUAGUUCCCUUUCUAAUGUACCGGAGAAAGAUGCAGAAAAUGUGCAUCAGAAAAAGGGUCUCGAGAGUGAGGGUGGUGCAUCCGAAUCUAGUCGAGUUUCUGUACUACCGAAGAAGGAACCAUACAUUAUAUCUUGUAAAUCAGAUUCUCCUGUAAAAGAUGGAAACAUAUCCCUAGUACCUGGAAAGGCUUCAGAUUCUUCACAACAAAUACAAAGUCAGAAAAUGGAAGAAGUUGUUUCUCAACCUCAUCAAGAACAAGUUACUUCUUCACCAAUGGCUGAGAAUGCUUUGUGUAAGUUACAAUCUAGGCGGAACCCUGAUACGAGUGUCCAGGAUUUGCCAUCUGAUCAAGGAGUCACUCCCUUCAGUGAACCUGAAAAACCAUCUGAAGAUGGAUAUAACUG